RNAcentral lists this ribosomal RNA (446 nucleotides) under uncultured bacterium. Its description in RNAcentral is "bacterial SSU rRNA". It matches the Rfam family "Bacterial small subunit ribosomal RNA", at positions 329 to 792 of the family's 1533-position model. The record is from RNAcentral.
CCCCAGACUCCUACGGGAGGCAGCAGUGGGGAAUACUGCACAAUGGGGGAAACCCUGAUGCAGCGACGCCGCGUGAGCGAUGAAGUAUUUCGGUAUGUAAAGCUCUAUCAGCAGGGAAGAAGAUGACGGUACCUGACUAAGAAGCCCCGGCUAACUACGUGCCAGCAGCCGCGGUAAUACGUAGGGGGCAAGCGUUAUCCGGAUUUACUGGGUGUAAAGGGAGCGUAGACGGCGAUGCAAGCCAGAUGUGAAAGCCCGGGGCUCAACCCCGGGACUGCAUUUGGAACUGUGUGGCUGGAGUGUCGGAGAGGCAGGCGGAAUUCCUAGUGUAGCGGUGAAAUGCGUAGAUAUUAGGAGGAACACCAGUGGCGAAGGCGGCCUGCUGGACGAUGACUGACGUUGAGGCUCGAAAGCGUGGGGAGCAAACAGGAUUAGAUACCCGAGUA